This 450-nucleotide ribosomal RNA is filed under the name uncultured bacterium. RNAcentral describes it as "partial 16S ribosomal RNA". It matches the Rfam family "Bacterial small subunit ribosomal RNA", at positions 354 to 796 of the family's 1533-position model. The record is from RNAcentral.
GUGGGGAAUUUUGGACAAUGGGCGCAAGCCUGAUCCAGCAAUGCCGCGUGCAGGAAGAAGGCCUUCGGGUUGUAAACUGCUUUUGUACGGAACGAAACGGUCCGGGUUAAUACCCUGGGCUAAUGACGGUACCGUAAGAAUAAGCACCGGCUAACUACGUGCCAGCAGCCGCGGUAAUACGUAGGGUGCAAGCGUUAAUCGGAAUUACUGGGCGUAAAGCGUGCGCAGGCGGUGUUGUAAGACAGGCGUGAAAUCCCCGGGCUCAACCUGGGAAUUGCGCUUGUGACUGAAAGGCUGGAGUGCGGCAGAGGGGGAUGGAAUUCCGCGUGUAGCAGUGAAAUGCGUAGAUAUGCGGAGGAACACCGAUGGCGAAGGCAAUCCCCUGGGCCUGCACUGACGCUCAUGCACGAAAGCGUGGGGAGCAAACAGGAUUAGAUACCCGAGUAGUCC